ACGGGUGAGUAAUACAUCGGAACGUGCCCUGUAGUGGGGGAUAACUAGUCGAAAGAUUAGCUAAUACCGCAUACGACCUGAGGGUGAAAGUGGGGGACCGCAAGGCCUCAUGCUAUAGGAGCGGCCGAUGUCUGAUUAGCUAGUUGGUGGGGUAAAGGCCCACCAAGGCGACGAUCAGUAGCUGGUCUGAGAGGACGAUCAGCCACACUGGGACUGAGACACGGCCCAGGCUCCUACGGGAGGCAGCAGUGGGGAAUUUUGGACAAUGGGGGCAACCCUGAUCCAGCAAUGCCGCGUGUGUGAAGAAGGCCUUCGGGUUGUAAAGCACUUUUGUCCGGAAAGAAAUCGCACUUACUAAUAUUAGGUGUGGAUGACGGUACCGGAAGAAUAAGGACCGGCUAACUACGUGCCAGCAGCCGCGGUAAUACGUAGGGUCCAAGCGUUAAUCGGAAUUACUGGGCGUAAAGCGUGCGCAGGCGGUUGUGCAAGACCGAUGUGAAAUCCCCGGGCUUAACCUGGGAAUUGCAUUGGUGACUGCACGGCUAGAGUGUGUCAGAGGGGGGUAGAAUUCCACGU
This 576-nucleotide ribosomal RNA is filed under the name uncultured bacterium. Its description in RNAcentral is "bacterial SSU rRNA". It matches the Rfam family "Bacterial small subunit ribosomal RNA", at positions 102 to 674 of the family's 1533-position model. The record is from RNAcentral.